This 329-nucleotide unclassified non-coding RNA is filed under the name soil metagenome. Its description in RNAcentral is "partial contains 5.8S ribosomal RNA, internal transcribed spacer 2, and large subunit ribosomal RNA". The stretch from base 1 to 120 matches the Rfam family "5.8S ribosomal RNA", at positions 35 to 154 of the family's 154-position model. The record is from RNAcentral.
GAUGAAGAACGUAGCGAAAUGCGAUAAGUAAUGUGAAUUGCAGAAUUCAGUGAAUCAUCGAAUCUUUGAACGCACAUUGCGCCCCUUGGUAUUCCGAGGGGCAUGCCUGUUCGAGCGUCAUUAUAACCCCUCAAGCUCAGCUUGGUGUUGGGGCCUGCUGCACUGGCAGCCCUUAAAAUCAGUGGCGGCGCCAUCUGGCUCUAAGCAUAGUAAUUCUUCUCGCUAUGGAGUCCUGGUGGAUGCUUGCCAUCAACCCCCAAUUUUUCUAUGGUUGACCUCGGAUCAGGUAGGGAUACCCGCUGAACUUAAGCAUAUCAAUAAGCGGAGGA